CUGCUAUGAGGUGCCCUCUCUUCUUCUUGUUUCUCUGCUAUGAGGUGACCUCUCUUCUUCUUGUUUCUCUGCUAUGAGGUGAUCUCUCUUCUUCUUGUUUCUCUGCUAUGAGGUGACCUCUCUUCUUCUUGUUUCUCUGCUAUGAGGUGACCUCUCUUCUUCUUGUUUCUCUGCUAUGAGGUGAUCUCUCUUCU
Oncorhynchus keta (chum salmon) is the source of this 194-nucleotide long non-coding RNA. RefSeq lists it as uncharacterized. Lineage: Eukaryota; Metazoa; Chordata; Actinopteri; Salmoniformes; Salmonidae. The record is from RefSeq and is a predicted model, not a curated record. The transcript is spliced from 4 exons.